UACGAAGGGGGCUAGCGUUGUUCGGAUUUACUGGGCGUAAAGCGCACGUAGGCGGAUUGUUAAGUCAGGGGUGAAAUCCUGGAGCUCAACUCCAGAACUGCCUUUGAUACUGGCAAUCUUGAGUCCGGAAGAGGUGAGUGGAACUCCUAGUGUAGAGGUGGAAUUCGUAGAUAUUAGGAAGAACACCAGUGGCGAAGGCGGCUCACUGGUCAGGUACUGACGCUGAGGUGCGAAAGCGUGGGGAGCAAACAGG
RNAcentral lists this ribosomal RNA (253 nucleotides) under uncultured bacterium. Its description in RNAcentral is "partial 16S ribosomal RNA". It matches the Rfam family "Bacterial small subunit ribosomal RNA", at positions 524 to 776 of the family's 1533-position model. The record is from RNAcentral.